Molecule: ribosomal RNA, 276 nt
Filed under: Staphylococcus aureus
Lineage: Bacteria; Bacillati; Bacillota; Bacilli; Caryophanales; Staphylococcaceae
Description: partial 23S ribosomal RNA
Rfam family: Bacterial large subunit ribosomal RNA
Source: RNAcentral
CACUGCCGAGAAAAGCCUCUAGAUAGAAAAUAGGUGCCCGUACCGCAAACCGACACAGGUAGUCAAGAUGAGAAUUCUAAGGUGAGCGAGCGAACUCUCGUUAAGGAACUCGGCAAAAUGACCCCGUAACUUCGGGAGAAGGGGUGCUCUUUAGGGUUAACGCCCAGAAGAGCCGCAGUGAAUAGGCCCAAGCGACUGUUUAUCAAAAACACAGGUCUCUGCUAAACCGUAAGGUGAUGUAUAGGGGCUGACGCCUGCCCGGUGCUGGAAGGUUAA